AGGAUGAACGCUGGCGGCGUGCUUAACACAUGCAAGUCGAGCGAAGCACUUAAGUGGAUCUCUUCGGAUUGAAACUUAUUUGACUGAGCGGCGGACGGGUGAGUAACGCGUGGGUAACCUGCCUCAUACAGGGGGAUAACAGUUAGAAAUGACUGCUAAUACCGCAUAAGCGCACAGGACCGCAUGGUCUGGUGUGAAAAACUCCGGUGGUAUGAGAUGGACCCGCGUCUGAUUAGCUAGUUGGAGGGGUAACGGCCCACCAAGGCAACGAUCAGUAGCCGGCCUGAGAGGGUGAACGGCCACAUUGGGACUGAGACACGGCCCAGACUCCUACGGGAGGCAGCAGUGGGGAAUAUUGCACAAUGGGGGAAACCCUGAUGCAGCGACGCCGCGUGAAGGAAGAAGUAUCUCGGUAUGUAAACUUCUAUCAGCAGGGAAGAAAAUGACGGUACCUGACUAAGAAGCCCCGGCUAACUACGUGCCAGCAGCCGCGGUAAUACGUAGGGGGCAAGCGUUAUCCGGAUUUACUGGGUGUAAAGGGAGCGUAGACGGAAGAGCAAGUCUGAUGUGAAAGGCUGGGGCUUAACCCCAGGACUGCAUUGGAAACUGUUUUUCUAGAGUGCCGGAGAGGUAAGCGGAAUUCCUAGUGUAGCGGUGAAAUGCGUAGAUAUUAGGAGGAACACCAGUGGCGAAGGCGGCUUACUGGACGG
Molecule: ribosomal RNA, 710 nt
Filed under: uncultured Lachnospiraceae bacterium
Lineage: Bacteria; Bacillati; Bacillota; Clostridia; Lachnospirales; Lachnospiraceae
Description: bacterial SSU rRNA
Rfam family: Bacterial small subunit ribosomal RNA
Source: RNAcentral